AUGACUACAACAAGAUCUCCUUCAAGGAGCAGGUGCCCGUGCCCUUGGAGGAGGUGCUGCUGGAUGCCUCUCCCCAGGCUUUGGUCUUUCUGGGGAGGUUCCUCCUCUACCCUCCACUCCAGCGCAUUGCAGCCUCCCAGGCCCUCCUGCACCAGUACUUCUUCACAGCUCCCCUGCCGGCCCACCCCUCGGAGCUGCC
This 199-nucleotide long non-coding RNA is filed under the name Sus scrofa (pig). RNAcentral describes it as "lncRNA (ENSSSCG00070013004.1)". The record is from RNAcentral. Lineage: Eukaryota; Metazoa; Chordata; Mammalia; Artiodactyla; Suidae.